Molecule: ribosomal RNA, 451 nt
Filed under: uncultured Fibrobacter sp.
Lineage: Bacteria; Pseudomonadati; Fibrobacterota; Fibrobacteria; Fibrobacterales; Fibrobacteraceae
Description: bacterial SSU rRNA
Rfam family: Bacterial small subunit ribosomal RNA
Source: RNAcentral
ACGGGAGGCAGCAGUAGGGAAUAUUGCACAAUGGGGGGAACCCUGAUGCAGCAACGCCACGUGUGGGAAGAAGCAUUUCGGUGUGUAAACCACUGUCGUGAGGGAAUAAUGCUUGGUCUCGGCCAAGUUGAAUGUACCUCGAAAGGAAGCACCGGCAAACUUCGUGCCAGCAGCCGCGGUAAUACGAGGGGUGCAAGCGUUGUUCGGAAUCACUGGGCGUAAAGGGAGCGUAGGCGGAGACGCAAGCAGUCUGUACAAUUCCUGGGUCCAACCUCGGAACUGCAGACUGGACUGUGUCUCUUGGAUAGUUCAGGGGCAGGCGGAAUUCCAGGUGUAGCGGUGGAAUGCGUAGAGAUCAGGAAGAACACCGAUGGCGAAGGCAGCCUGCUGGGGACUCAUCGACGCUGAGGCUCGAAAGUGCGGGUAGCAAACAGGAUUAGAUACCCUGGUA